This 216-nucleotide ribosomal RNA is filed under the name Nocardia farcinica. RNAcentral describes it as "partial 16S ribosomal RNA". It matches the Rfam family "Bacterial small subunit ribosomal RNA", at positions 1322 to 1533 of the family's 1533-position model. Lineage: Bacteria; Bacillati; Actinomycetota; Actinomycetes; Mycobacteriales; Nocardiaceae. The record is from RNAcentral.
GAAGUUGGAGUCGCUAGUAAUCGCAGAUCAGCAACGCUGCGGUGAAUACGUUCCCGGGCCUUGUACAUACCGCCCGUCACGUCAUGAAAGUCGGUAACACCCGAAGCCGGUGGCCUAACCCCUUGUGGGAGGGAGCCGUCGAAGGUGGGAUCGGCGAUUGGGACGAAGUCGUAACAAGGUAGCCGUACCGGAAGGUGCGGCUGGAUCACCUCCUUU